This 490-nucleotide ribosomal RNA is filed under the name uncultured bacterium. RNAcentral's name for it is "partial 16S ribosomal RNA". It matches the Rfam family "Bacterial small subunit ribosomal RNA", at positions 30 to 507 of the family's 1533-position model. The record is from RNAcentral.
AUUGAACGCUGGCGGCAGGCCUAACACAUGCAAGUCGAACGGUAACAGGAAGCAGCUUGCUGCUUCGCUGACGAGUGGCGGACGGGUGAGUAAUGUCUGGGAAACUGCCUGAUGGAGGGGGAUAACUACUGGAAACGGUAGCUAAUACCGCAUAACGUCGCAAGACCAAAGAGGGGGACCUUAGGGCCUCUUGCCAUCGGAUGUGCCCAGUUGGGAUUAGCUAGUAGGUGGGGUAACGGCUCACCUAGGCGACGAUCCCUAGCUGGUCUGAGAGGAUGACCAGCCACACUGGAACUGAGACACGGUCCAGACUCCUACGGGAGGCAGCAGUGGGGAAUAUUGCACAAUGGGCGCAAGCCUGAUGCAGCCAUGCCGCGUGUAUGAAGAAGGCCUUCGGGUUGUAAAGUACUUUCAGCGGGGAGGAAGGGAGUAAAGUUAAUACCUUUGCUCAUUGACGUUACCCGCAGAAGAAGCACCGGCUAACUCCGUG